GUGGGAUUGAUGUAAAGGUGACUGGAUGUUUAUGUGGCGUAUUGUUAUGUGGUCAUAGUUGGAUGCUGUAAAACAAAAUGUGGAUUCCUUUUACUGGCUGUGGAUAACGCGAGAGUUAUUCACAGCCAGACGAAGCUCAUACCAACACGCCCCUAGAUGACCAGUGAUGAUUUGGAUUAACGACAGUAUACUAGCUGAGCCCUAGAUGUUGCCAGCAUGGUCCUGGAAGGGGCGCGAGAGUGGUACCAUAACUUUGUGAAGAAGGUGGAUGAGAGGUCCAGCUCACAAGUCCUCAUCCAAGUGGUUGUUUUGAAUGCAAUGAAGCCUCGUCGCCUGUCUGCACGGGUUAUUUUGCAGGCCAGUGUUUACACAGUUAUAAUCAUUGUGCUUGCCUUUAUUCUGCUGUACACGUUUCUUCUUACCUAUGUGGACAGACAUUUGAAGAUGACUCAGGCUCAGGCUCAUCUGCCACUAGAGAUUCCUCAGAAAAAUACUCAUAACAAUCAUAGAGUGAAAUUUCAGUCCAAAUCCUCAGGAAACUAUAGACUACAUAAUAUGGAAGAAGGUGGUGGGAAUGAAAAUACUCUUCAUUUCCAUACAGGUAGUAUCUCUCACAGAAAAGUGUUGUGGAAUUCAACAAAUUACUACGAUGUGUUCAGUACCCGUCCACAGUGUCACAGGAACACAUCACUAUUGACAAUCAUCAUCACAUCAUCACCAGAUCACUUGGACCAGAGGAGUCAGAUUCGCCAGACAUGGUGUAAUGCAUCAGCAACCAGACAUCAGAAGGGGGCAUGGCAGUGUGUGUUUCUGAUCGGCCAGACAUCCCUCUCUUACAUUGAUUCUGCAGUAGAAGAAGAGGCUGACAACUUCCAGGACAUUCUCAGGGGAACAUAUGUAGAUUCAUAUCGCAAUUUGACAUUGAAGGUACUUCAUGGACUGAACUGGGUUAGCCAGUUAUGUCCUACACAGUACACACUAAAGACAGAUGAUGACUGUUUUGUUAACACACUGCAGAUGUAUAACUUCCUUCUGCAUAGUAAUACUAUCAAAACAAACCUGUAUGUAGGCAAUGUUUUUCAUAAACUCGAAAAGAGGAAGGUGGUACGGAGCCUAAGCAGCAAGUGGUCCGUUGCCAAGUCUGACUAUGCUCCAGACCAUUAUCCCCCUUAUGCCAGUGGGACAGGGUAUGUGUUCACUCAGGAUGUGGUGGACAAAAUUGUUGUGGAGAGUCAGUACAUCAAAGCCAUUCCUAAUGAGGAUGCUUACAUAGGUAUUGUGGUUAAUUCGUUGGGCGUGAAACCUACAUCAAGCUUCCGUUUUACUCUGUUCAGUGAAGGACUGAGAUUGUGUAACUACCUGUAUGUAUUGGUGGUGCACCGUGUGCAGCCAGAGCAGCAGCACAUGUUGCAUGCUGGCAUGAUGCAGGCCCCACAGGCAUGUCGGGGGGACACCGGGGAUCUUCACUCAUGGUCAUGACAUACAAUAAAGUGCAAGGGAUAUUUUGCAGAAGGAAGAGUGUUUCGCCUUAUACCCGGCAUGCUGUUGUUAAGUCUGUGUGAUGGUGGCAGCAGUUCUAAAACUCAAAGCCAACAUUUGUAUUUGCAUUAUAUUAUUGGUUUUGUUUACCUCCAGUUUCUAUCAAUUCUUCAUAAAGACAGAUUUGCCAAGGCUGAAGUAGUGUCUCUGACUAAAGUUGAAGUCCAUAAAUAUCAUUUGUUGAUACCAUUGUUUGUUUUAAGCAAUUUAGUUGUUGAACUUAAAGAAACGUCUUUAGAAAUAUGUUUGUGAAACAUUUUCACACUGAAUAAUGUCUGACAUGUUUUGACAUCACUAUCUAAUCACUAAUCACUGCUUACAGUAUUUAUUACAUAAUGGUAGCAGGGAUGAUUCUAUCAUGGAGCCUUGUGCUUUUAGCCCCUAAAUUUGAAAAAAGGCCCACAUUUUUCAAUACAAUAAGCAUUUCAACAUUGUGCUGUAUGCAUGGUAUGGGCAUGUGUGGGUGUACCCUUGGAAUAUUUGAAAUGUUCACAUAAAAGGCCCAUGUCAGAAAAUUGUAAGAGUUAACCCUGUGGUAGGGUAUACAUUUAUUUUGUUAGGUAUACAAAGUUUUGUUCAUAUGUAAAACAAGUUUAGAUUUGAACAUGCAGAUGUAUAACCUCAUUUGUGUAUAUGGUUGUUGCUCUAGCACAACGCCAAUUGCACAUAUCCCAAUGCAAGUGUAUAUGUUUGAAAAUGCAAUGUAUGAAAUGCAGUUUUUGAGUUUUCUUUUAAUAUUUCCCAUAUUUGUCUAGUUCUUUGAAACUAUUGGAUCGAUGUUUUUAGUUUGUUAAAAAUGAUGUUGCGUUUGAAAUGUCUGGAUGGGAUGAAGUGCCAUGAGAUUUCUCGUGUGAGAUAUUGCUGCUGCAUGUGCUUGUGUGGUACACCGGUCAUGAAGGUGGUGCCAUGAUUAGUGCAUUCUACUUACGACAUUCCUCAUACUGCCUGAAAUGUCCUCUGUAUUCAUACAGCAUUUACUUUAGGAAACAUUGUUAUGUUGGCCAGCCAUUGUUUCAUACUGAAGAUAGUCAAGGGGUGUACAGGAAUUAUUUCACAGUCUGUGGGCAUACAACAGACACAUGUUGUGGGAAUUUACUAAUUAUUAGAUUUAGUUCUAUUGCCAGUGCUAAGCAUGAUCGUGUUUCAAAUUAAGUCUUAACAUGUUUAAGGCCAAGUGAACAUGAUCAUGAAAAUGAAAAUAAUUCAGUGAAGGGUUUGAAAAAAGUUCAAAUAAAUAGAAUGUCUAACUGGCAAUAAUAUGUGGCACCGCUUGCUGUGAGUGGCUGUCGCAGACUGGUCCACGAUCAUCACUCUCUUUUAUCCAUGCUACUUCACAAGUUACAUUCAGAAAUUGUGUAACAAAACUUCUUGAAAUGAAACAUAAAACAUUUAAAUUAAUCUGGCUUGAUCAAGUUCCUGAAGGACAAAGAUAAAUGUCAAAUUGAUAGUAUGAGAAUGCUGGUUAUUUUGGUUAUAAUACCUGUAGAUUAACAGACAGUGGAGACAUGUAGGACAGCAAUGUCCAAGUGUUUUGGUCACUUGAAGCGAUCUUAGCGCUGCAAUAGUGUAACUCCCAUUGUUGAAUACAGACUUACGAAAGUUGCUUUGUGUAGGUAGUAGGCACAGAUAGGUACUUGUGCAGGAUAGGUAUCGUGUUUCUUCAUGUUUGCAUACCCCUACUGCUACCUAGCACUUGCUUCUGAUGUCCAAACAGUCUUCACUUCUAUUUCAUUUGGGUUGAUACAACAUACACAUAAGCAUGUUAAGUUAACUUUGUGUUUUGAUUUUUUAGUAAGUGAAGUUGAGAGUUUAAGCAACAUAUAGAAAAACUCAAAACAACUUAAUGUUAUUUCGCUGAAAUACGUGUACCCGGUAAAUAAGGAAUGUUGAUUAUGAGAAGCAGUUAUUGGUGUUUCUGUACUCUACAUUAUAAUUACUGAUAUGUUUUGGGUGACAAUGUCAAAUGCUGCAAUGGCAAGCAAUUACAACCCUUAGAAAGUAUAUAGACAUGUACACACAUGGUUUAGUCUUUGGCAGUUCCUCCAGCCUGUUGCUGUAGUGCACGAAUUGGCCACAGACAUGGUGAAUAACACAACUCAUUUAUUUUAUGUGUUUUGAACACUUAUGAAGUUGUUCUUUUCGUUAAAGCUGGUUAGUGUUCAUGUUUUGUCAACAGAUUUGGUGACAAGAAAAAUAUUGUCACAAAGGUUAUUUACAACUUUUAUGCUUUUGUGUGUUGCACUCAACAUUCAUGGACUUCGUGUCAUGAUUUUUGUGAUCAACAUUGAUCAGUGACAUCAGUUACACUCUUAAUCACGACUUACUGCAAGAGAUUUGUAUGCAGUAAAACUUUAGAACAUUUGUGUGUUUGGGCAGACUUUUCUCUGUACAGCUGUACAAUAGGCAUGUGUUUGCUGUGAUAGGCGAUUGUGGUACAAUGGUUGUUAAUGGCAGUAUAAACAUGCAAUUAUGGUAUAUGAGAAUUAAUUGUAAAAUCUGUGGUUGUGAGAAUUUUGAUCGGUGAACAUUUCAGAUUCUGAAGGUUGUAAUUUAGCAUAUUGGAGUCAAAUUUAAUCAAUAGUUUUGUUGUAUUAUAGUGAGUGAGUGAGGUUAAACGCAGCUUUUGGCAAUAUUCCAGCAAUAUCACGACGGUGGACACCAGAAAUGGACUUCACACAUUGUACCCAUGUCGGGAAUUGAACCCGGGUCUUCGGCGUGACGAGCGAACACUUCAACCACUAAACUACCCGACCGCCCUUGUAUUAUGGAAUGGUACUGAUCUAAGUUGGACGUGGAUGGGUCUUGAAGGUGAAUCUCAUAGAGUUUGUGUGAGCGUGCAUGCGUGUGUGCGUGCGUUGGUGCAUGCGUGUGUGCGUGCGUUGGUGCAUGCGAUGAAGAUGAAGAUGAAUCGCCCAGAGUCUUUUUGUAUGAGAAGAAAUUAUAGCUGAAUCUCUUAGAGUUUGUGUGUAUAGGUAUUGAAGGUGAAUCUCGUAGAGUCUGUAUGUGUGGAUACUGAAGGUAACUAGAGUCUGUCUGUGUGGGUGG
Molecule: unclassified non-coding RNA, 4584 nt
Filed under: Haliotis rufescens (red abalone)
Lineage: Eukaryota; Metazoa; Mollusca; Gastropoda; Lepetellida; Haliotidae
Description: beta-1,3-galactosyltransferase 1-like, transcript variant X1
Source: RNAcentral